Globicephala melas (long-finned pilot whale) is the source of this 2834-nucleotide non-coding RNA. The record is from RefSeq and is a predicted model, not a curated record. NCBI's taxonomy places the organism in Eukaryota, Metazoa, Chordata, Mammalia, Artiodactyla, Delphinidae.
UCCAAAUUCUAUCUAGUUUUCCUUGGUUCCUAGAUUCUGUCAUGCAAAAUGAAAACCAGAAUCCCCUGCCUGCAUGGCCUGGGAUGGGAACUAAGGCUUUUACUCUAUCCGGGGUUUCUGCCUUACGUCUUUUUUUUUCUUUUUUGGCCAUGCGACACGGCAUGUGGGAUCUUAGUUCUCCGACCAGAGAUCAAACCCGUGCCCCCUGCAGUGGAAGCACAGAGUCCUAACCACUGGGCCACCAGGGAAUUCCCUGCCUUACCUCUCAAGGCCAGAAUUACAAUGGUUGGAGGAGGGGAAUCAGAGCUCCCCCACUACCUACCAGGAGGAAUAAAAAUCUUUUCCUCCAAAUCCCGGAUUUCUUUUGAUCACUGACUCUGGUUUCUUUCACCUUUAAACUUUUCUGCUCUUAACACUCCAUAAACCACGCACUGACAAGAGGUCGUCUUGUACAAGAAGCAGCUGAGUGAACGUGCCCUCCUUGCUGGUAAGGACUCUGCCAGCCCUGGUUCAUCCUACCCUUCUCUCCCCCUAGUUCUGACAGAGGACAAGCCAACUGGUUGUUGAAUGAGUGAGUGAAUGAAUUAAUGAAUGCAGGCCAUUUUUACUGGGACUGGUGGCAAAACAUCCAAAGAGAAAACUGAAAGGGGAAGACAAACACAUUUGCUCACAAUUGAAGUUCACUUUCCAAAUUUUUUAGCAACAAAUAAUAGAGCAACUCCAAAAAAUGUGAACUGAGUUCAAAGCAGCUCCAGUAAGAAUUGCAGCUUGCUGUCUGAGUGGGUCAGGUUCCUGGAUGCCAUCGCCCAGCCCUUUGGUACAACAUGCUACGUAGCCCUGGCAUCACAGAUCUGCUUCUCGGCCCUUCCAUGACUCGUGGUUCACACCCAGAGCUCUCUUCAUAUCUUUUCCCAUUAGCUUUCAGAGGUUCUCAUUAUAGUAGGACUGUCUCCAUUCCCAGAAGCAGAUGCACAGCCUAGCCGAUCCCUGGAUUGUAAAAAAGAACAAUACUACAAAGGAAGACGACCCCAAAUGAGGCUCUGCAGUCCUCAUACCCAGCAGCAACCAAGAAAGGCGUGGUUCUUUGUCUGGAACAGAUGCUCACCCCACACCCCCAAAAAACUGCUUGGUCCAAAAGAUGGAGAAGAUGAGCAACAGAGUGACGCUGAGGAUGACAGCCAGCAGACCCUAGACCUCUGCCACUGCUUCGGGACAGGGAAGAGGAAGUGAAGACAUGGAGGAGGAGGGUGGAACAGCUCUGGCUGAAGCUCGGAUACUUUGCCAAAGAUCCUCACCAAUGAAUGCCUCCCUCUGUGGACAAUUCGUCCUUUCUACGAGCAGUCAUUGAGUUAAUGAGAGCUCGCCACAUGCCAGGUGAGAUCACCAGGGAAGCUUUCUCCAGAGAGAUGAUAUGAAAGCCAAGACCAGAGGAUGAGAAGAAUCCAGCCCUGCAGGGUGGAAGAAGAGCAUUCGAGCUCAAGGGAACAGCACGUGUCAAAGCCUUAAGGCUUCUGUUUUCUGAAGUUCCAUGGCCAAAGCUGUAAAGGGAUGCUCAAGAGGAGGGAUGAUCACUGUUGAAUCAGCACCUGGGCCCUUAUCUGCCAUGGUCACCUCAGGCCUUGUCUGUGGCUUCAGAGUCUGUCGCCAGGAGGGACUCUGGCCACUUAACCACCAACGACUCACUCUCAAGCCAGGACAUCCCAAUACCACCCCAAAGACAUCGCCUCAGUCUGUGAGCAGGUCAGUCAGCCAAAUAUCCAUUGUCUGUAGCAUCACCCCAAUACUUUCAACCUCCAGAGGAGAGAGGUGAAGAACUAGCAUUUUUAUAGGACUUCCCAGUUUACAAAGGGCCUCAGUCCUGGCCGGGGUCUAAGUGUGGUAACUCACAUCUUGAUGGUAUAAUUUGCCUUUUGCAAUUUUUUUUUCCAUUUGCAUAGACCAUUUGAUUCUGUAAAACCACCCUCUGAAGGAAGCAGGAUCAGGAGUCGACAGUGUGCAGCUAUGGAACCAGACUUUUUUGCUGUGAGGUCUUAGACAAAUGGCUUAACCUCUCCGAGCUUUGUUUUCCUCUGUAAUAUAGGCUAAUGAUCUCACCUUAUGAGCUUGCUGUGAGGAGGGGAUAAUGACUGUUACGUGCCCAGCAAAGCACAGCAGAUGCUCAAUACACAGGUAGCAUGCUAUUUUUACAUUCAUUUUAUAGAUGGGAACAUCAAGGCUCAGAAUGGUGAAGUGACUUGCCCAGGGCUUCACAGCUAAAGAAUGGCUGAGCUUGAAAGAUGAUCCCAGGAGCCCUGCCUCCCAGGACAGCGUUCACCCGGUCGGUGGACGAUGCUGCCUCUCAGGAUGCAGGGCCCUGUGAGCCGUCCCUCCACGACCCUCCCUGGUUCCUUACCUGCUCCCUUGGUGCCUCCUCCACCUCCUCCAGCUCCUUUGCCUAGCACGGCCCUGCAGCAUGUGCUCUGGGCUCUGACUUCUCCCGGCCUGGUUUCCAGGCAGCUGUGGGCGUGCCUCAUUUGCAUGGUCUUCAGGAAGCUCUUGGCCAGCUCUCCAUCUCAGGACUUUCUCUCCUUCCCUCUGCUGCCUUUGGACUGUCUGAGCCUACCAGGGACAGCCUGGAAGCUUUGGUUUCAUCUUCCUCCUAUAAGGAAUCAGAAGCUCAAAGCAAGUAAGGGGUUUACCCAAGAGCUCAUGAGAAGCAAGUUAAAGAGCUGGGACUGCAAGAGACAGAGGGAUGCCUCAAGGCAUGACCUGGUGGCCUGGAAUUCCCUCUCAGACCUAGAACGCCCUGCUUUCCAGUAUCACUUCUGGUUAACUAAGGUUAGUGAGAAUUCAAG